GCGAGGAAUUUUCCGCAAUGGGCGAAAGCCUGACGGAGCAAUGCCGCGUGAAGGAUGAAGGCCUAUGGGUUGUAAACUUCUUUUCUUAGAGAAGAAUAUUGACGGUAUCUGAGGAAUAAGCAUCGGCUAACUCUGUGCCAGCAGCCGCGGUAAGACAGAGGAUGCAAGCGUUAUCCGGAAUGAUUGGGCGUAAAGCGUCUGUAGGUGGCUUCAAAAGUCUCCUGUCAAAGAUCAGGUCUUAACCCUGGGCCGGCAGGGGAAACUCUGAGGCUAGAGUUUGGUAGGGGCAGAGGGAAUUCCCGGUGGAGCGGAGAAAGGCGUAGAGAUCGGGAGGAACACCAAAGGAGAAAGCACUCUGCUGGGCCACAACUGACACUGAGAGACGAAAGCGAGGGGAGCAAAAGGGAUUAGAUACCCGUGUAGUCC
This 426-nucleotide ribosomal RNA is filed under the name uncultured bacterium. Its description in RNAcentral is "partial 16S ribosomal RNA". It matches the Rfam family "Bacterial small subunit ribosomal RNA", at positions 354 to 796 of the family's 1533-position model. The record is from RNAcentral.